RNAcentral lists this long non-coding RNA (739 nucleotides) under Vitis vinifera (wine grape). RNAcentral's name for it is "long non-coding RNA (VVIN_LNC003600)". The record is from RNAcentral. Lineage: Eukaryota; Viridiplantae; Streptophyta; Magnoliopsida; Vitales; Vitaceae.
UUGCUACCCAGCUGUAUUGAUUCAAACUAUAAAUGAAAAUUUAGAAAAGCAACCACGAGAUACAGAACACUAGUAAAAGCAUCGUGUGAGGCUUAUUCAUGCUUCAGUAAUGGUUUAUAAUGAAACUUGUUAUAUGUCUUCCCAUGGCACACUAAGAUGGCGUUUGUUUUUUUACUUAAUUCUAAAUAGAACCUUAAUACUUAAUAGUAUUAAAUAUUAGGUUAUUUGUUUUUGUAGUAUUUUAUUUCUAUUAAGUAUUAAAAAGUAAAAAAAACCAUUGUAUUAUUUUUUCUAUUUAGAAAAAGUCAUAUAUUCUGACUUUUUCUAUUUAGUAAAAAGUUUAUAAUAAGUCAUGAAAAAGUAAAAAAACAAACAAUCUAAAUUCUAAAACUAAAUGGUUUUCAGCAAAAAGCCAAAAAAACAAACACCACCUAAAACCAUAAAUGAAUUCAAAGAAAAACAAUUACAACCUGGAAGUGGUUUGGAGAAUUGCAUCAUUGCAAGUAUGAAAAAUAUUUGAUCCAAAAUUUCCUAAUCAAUAUCAUGAACCUAUCAAAUAAAACCAAACUGCCCCACAAAUCACAAGACAAAAAGAUUGCAAAAAUAAUAAAGAAAGAAAAAGGUGAACCCAUGUUAAGGAUUAUAUAAAGUAGAAAAAUUCAUUUCAAGGACAUAGAAAGCACCCAAUCUCAAAAUGAUCCAACAAUAAUUCAAAUUUAAAAGAUUAUAUUAAUUAAUA